This 1380-nucleotide ribosomal RNA is filed under the name uncultured bacterium. RNAcentral's name for it is "partial 16S ribosomal RNA". It matches the Rfam family "Bacterial small subunit ribosomal RNA". The record is from RNAcentral.
GAACGCUAGCGGCGUGCCUAACACAUGCAAGUCGAACGAGAAAGGGGCUUCGGCCCUGAGUAAAGUGGCGCACGGGUGAGUAACACGUAAGUAACCUGCCUCUAAGACUGGGAUAACCUGUCGAAAGACGGGCUAAUACCAAAUAAGACCACGGUCUCUUCGGAGACUGAGGUCAAAGGUAGCCUCUAUUUAUAUGCUAUCGCUUAGAGAUGGGCCUGCGCACCAUUAGCUAGUUGGUGGGGUAAGAGCCUACCAAGGCAAAGAUGGUUAGCUGGUCUGAGAGGAUGAUCAGCCACACUGGGACUGAGACACGGCCCAGACUCCUACGGGAGGCAGCAGUUAGGAAUCCUGCGCAAUGGGCGAAAGCCUGACGCAGCGACGCCGCGUGCGGGAUGAAGGCCUUCGGGUUGUAAACCGCUUUCAGCAGGGACGAAAUUGACGGUACCUGCAGAAGAAGCCCCGGCCAACUACGUGCCAGCAGCCGCGGUAAUACGUAGGGGGCAAGCGUUGUCCGGAUUUAUUGGGCGUAAAGAGCUCGUAGGUGGUUUGGUAAGUCGGAUGUGAAAUCUCCAGGCUCAACCUGGAGGGGUCAUUCGAUACUGCCAUGACUAGAGGUCGGUAGGGGAGUGUGGAAUUCCUGGUGGAGCGGUGAAAUGCGCAGAUAUCAGGAGGAACACCGGUGGCGAAGGCGGAUCUCUGGGCCUUACCUGACGCUGAGGCGCGAAAGCUAGGGGAGCGAACAGGAUUAGAUACCCUGGUAGUCCUAGCCGUAAACGUUGGGUGCUAGGUGUGGGCGGACAUCGACCCCGUCCGUGCCGAAGCUAACGCAUUAAGCACCCCGCCUGGGGAGUACGGCCGCAAGGCUAAAACUCAAAGGAAUUGACGGGGGCCCGCACAAGCGGCGGAGCAUGCGGCUUAAUUCGAUGCGACGCGAAGAACCUUACCUGGGCUUGACAUGCAGGGCAAAGCCGGUGAAAGCCGGCGCUCCACGGAGCCUGCACAGGUGGUGCAUGGCUGUCGUCAGCUCGUGCCGUGAGGUGUUGCCUUAAGUGGCGCAACGAGCGCAACCCUUGUCCCUAGUUGCCAGCGGGUAAAGCCGGGAACUCUAGGGAGACUGCCGGUGCCAAACCGGAGGAAGGUGGGGAUGACGUCAAGUCAUCAUGCCCCUUAUGUCCAGGGCUGCACGCAUGCUACAAUGCGCGGUACAAAGGGCUGCGAUCCCGUAAGGGGGAGCGAAUCCCAAAAAGCCGCGCUCAGUUCGGAUCGGGGUCUGCAACCCGACCCCGUGAAGUCGGAGUCGCUAGUAAUCGCAGAUCAGCAAUGCUGCGGUGAUAAUAUCCCGGGCGGUUGUACACACCGCCCGUAAGGGCAGAUUCGUUA